GAUGAACGCUGGCGGCGUGCCUAAUACAUGCAAGUCGAGCGAAUGGAUUAAGAGCUUGCUCUUAUGAAGUUAGCGGCGGACGGGUGAGUAACACGUGGGUAACCUGCCCAUAAGACUAGGAUAACUCCGGGAAACCGGGGCUAAUACCGGAUAACAUUUUGAACCGCAUGGUUCGAAAUUGAAAGGCGGCUUCGGCUGCCACUUAUGGAUGAACCCGCGUCGCAUUAGCUAGUUGGUGAGGUAACGGCUCACCAAGGCAACGAUGCGUAGCCGACCUGAGAGGGUGAUCGGCCACACUGGGACUGAGACACGGCCCAGACUCCUACGGGAGGCAGCAGUAGGGAAUCUUCCGCAAUGGACGAAAGUCUGACGGAGCAACGCCGCGUGAGUGAUGAAGGCUUUCGGGUCGUAAAACUCUGUUGUUAGGGAAGAACAAGUGCUAGUUGAAUAAGCUGGCACCUUGACGGUACCUAACCAGAAAGCCACGGCUAACUACGUGCCAGCCGCCGCGGUAA
RNAcentral lists this ribosomal RNA (515 nucleotides) under uncultured bacterium. Its description in RNAcentral is "partial 16S ribosomal RNA". It matches the Rfam family "Bacterial small subunit ribosomal RNA", at positions 28 to 523 of the family's 1533-position model. The record is from RNAcentral.